RNAcentral lists this non-coding RNA (24 nucleotides) under Arabidopsis thaliana (thale cress). Lineage: Eukaryota; Viridiplantae; Streptophyta; Magnoliopsida; Brassicales; Brassicaceae. The record is from RNAcentral.
AUGGGCUUUUUGACCAAAUCGUGG